Molecule: ribosomal RNA, 466 nt
Filed under: uncultured bacterium
Lineage: Bacteria
Description: partial 16S ribosomal RNA
Rfam family: Bacterial small subunit ribosomal RNA
Source: RNAcentral
GACGAACGCUGGCGGCGUGCUUAACACAUGCAAGUCGAACGGAAAGGCCCUGCUUGCAGGGUACUCGAGUGGCGAACGGGUGAGUAACACGUGGGUGAUCUGCCCUGCACUUCGGGAUAAGCUUGGGAAACUGGGUCUAAUACCGGAUAGGAGCCAUCUUUAGUGUGGUGGUUGGAAAGUUUUUUCGGUGUAGGAUGAGCUCGCGGCCUAUCAGCUUGUUGGUGGGGUAAUGGCCUACCAAGGCGGCGACGGGUAGCCGGCCUGAGAGGGUGUACGGUCACAUUGGGACUGAGAUACGGCCCAGACUCCUACGGGAGGCAGCAGUGGGGAAUAUUGCACAAUGGGCGCAAGCCUGAUGCAGCGACGCCGCGUGGGGGAUGAAGGCCUUCGGGUUGUAAACUCCUUUCGCUAGGGACGAAGCUUUUUUGUGACGGUACCUAGAUAAGAAGCACCGGCUAACUACGUG